This 253-nucleotide ribosomal RNA is filed under the name uncultured bacterium. RNAcentral's name for it is "partial 16S ribosomal RNA". It matches the Rfam family "Bacterial small subunit ribosomal RNA", at positions 524 to 776 of the family's 1533-position model. The record is from RNAcentral.
UACGUAGGGGGCAAGCGUUGUCCGGAUUUACUGGGCGUAAAGAGCGUGUAGGCGGCCACACAGGUCCGUUGUGAAAACUGGAGGCUCAACCUCCAGACGUCGACGGAAACCGUGUGGCUAGAGUCCGGAAGAGGAGAGUGGAAUUCCUGGUGUAGCGGUGAAAUGCGCAGAUAUCAGGAAGAACACCAAUGGCGAAGGCAGCUCUCUGGGACGGUACUGACGCUGAGACGCGAAAGCGUGGGGAGCGAACAGG